GACGAACGCUGGCGGCGUGCUUAACACAUGCAAGUCGAACGGAAAGGCCCUGCUUUUGUGGGGUGCUCGAGUGGCGAACGGGUGAGUAACACGUGAGUAACCUGCCCUUGACUUUGGGAUAACUUCAGGAAACUGGGGCUAAUACCGGAUAGGAGCUCCUGCUGCAUGGUGGGGGUUGGAAAGUUUCGGCGGUUGGGGAUGGACUCGCGGCUUAUCAGCUUGUUGGUGGGGUAGUGGCUUACCAAGGCUUUGACGGGUAGCCGGCCUGGGAGGGUGACCGGCCACAAGGGGACUGCGAGACGGAGCAGACGCGUACGGGAGGCAGCAGUGGGGAGUAUGGCAGAGUGGGGGGAAGCCUGAUGCAGAAGCGCUGCGUGCGGGAUGACGGGCUUUGGGGUGUAAACAGAUGUGGCCUGAGACGAAGCGGGAGUGACGGUAAUGGGUAAAAAAGCAACGGCUAACUACGUG
Molecule: ribosomal RNA, 468 nt
Filed under: uncultured bacterium
Lineage: Bacteria
Description: partial 16S ribosomal RNA
Rfam family: Bacterial small subunit ribosomal RNA
Source: RNAcentral